Zonotrichia albicollis (white-throated sparrow) is the source of this 192-nucleotide non-coding RNA. NCBI's taxonomy places the organism in Eukaryota, Metazoa, Chordata, Aves, Passeriformes, Passerellidae. The record is from RefSeq and is a predicted model, not a curated record.
GAUCUCCAGGCUAUCCAGGCCCUGCAGGGCCGAAAGGAGACAGAGGAGAGCCCGGCUAUGUCCUGGGAGGCGUGGAGGUGAUUCCUGGCCGGAAUGGGCAGCCUGGCCCUCCUGGACAGAAGGGGCAGCCGGGGGUUCCUGGGGUUCCAGGACCACCAGGUUCUCCAGGGCCACCAGGAAUCUCCAUCAAGG